GAAUGCUGACAUAAGUAACGAUAAAGCGGGUGAAAAGCCCGCUCGCCGGAAGACCAAGGGUUCCUGUCCAACGUUAAUCGGGGCAGGGUGAGUCGACCCCUAAGGCGAGGCCGAAAGGCGUAGUCGAUGGGAAACGGGUUAAUAUUCCCGUACUUGGUGUUACUGCGAAGGGGGGACGGAGAAGGCUAUGUUGGCCGGGCGACGGUUGUCCCGGUUUAAGCGUGUAGGUGUGUGUUCCAGGUAAAUCCGGUUCACUUUAACACUGAGGCGUGACGACGAGGCACUACGGUGCUGAAGCAACAAAUGCCCUGCUUCCAGGAAAAGCCUCUAAGCAUCAGGUAACAUCAAAUCGUACCCCAAACCGACACAGGUGGUCAGGUAGAGAAUACCAAGGCGCUUGAGAGAACUCGGGUGAAGGAACUAGGCAAAAUGGUGCCGUAACUUCGGGAGAAGGCACGCUGACACGUAGGUGAAGUGAUUUACUCAUGGAGCUGAAGUCAGUCGAAGAUACCAGCUGGCUGCAACUGUUUAUUAAAAACACAGCACUGUGCAAACACGAAAGUGGACGUAUACGGUGUGACGCCUGCCCGGUGCCGGAAGGUUAAUUGAUGGGGUCAGCGCAAGCGAAGCUCCUGAUCGAAGCCCCGGUAAACGGCGGCCGUAACUAUAACGGUCCUAAGGUAGCGAAAUUCCUUGUCGGGUAAGUUCCGACCUGCACGAAUGGCGUAAUGAUGGCCAGGCUGUCUCCACCCGAGACUCAGUGAAAUUGAACUCGCUGUGAAGAUGCAGUGUACCCGCGGCAAGACGGAAAGACCCCGUGAACCUUUACUAUAGCUUGACACUGAACAUUGAGCCUUGAUGUGUAGGAUAGGUGGGAGGCUUUGAAGUGUGGACGCCAGUCUGCAUGGAGCCGACCUUGAAAUACCACCCUUUAAUGUUUGAUGUUCUAACGUGGACCCGUUACCCGGGUUGCGGACAGUGUCUGGUGGGUAGUUUGACUGGGGCGGUCUCCUCCUAAAGAGUAACGGAGGAGCACGAAGGUUGGCUAAUCCUGGUCGGACAUCAGGAGGUUAGUGCAAUGGCAUAAGCCAGCUUGACUGCGAGCGUGACGGCGCGAGCAGGUGCGAAAGCAGGUCAUAGUGAUCCGGUGGUUCUGAAUGGAAGGGCCAUCGCUCAACGGAUAAAAGGUACUCCGGGGAUAACAGGCUGAUACCGCCCAAGAGUUCAUAUCGACGGCGGUGUUUGGCACCUCGAUGUCGGCUCAUCACAUCCUGGGGCUGAAGUAGGUCCCAAGGGUAUGGCUGUUCGCCAUUUAAAGUGGUACGCGAGCUGGGUUUAGAACGUCGUGAGACAGUUCGGUCCCUAUCUGCCGUGGGCGCUGGAGAACUGAGGGGGGCUGCUCCUAGUACGAGAGGACCGGAGUGGACGCAUCACUGGUGUUCGGGUUGUCAUGCCAAUGGCACUGCCCGGUAGCUAAAUGCGGAAGAGAUAAGUGCUGAAAGCAUCUAAGCACGAAACUUGCCCCGAGAUGAGUUCUCCCUGAGACUUAAAGUCUCCUGAAGGAACGUUGAAGAC
RNAcentral lists this ribosomal RNA (1575 nucleotides) under Salmonella enterica. Its description in RNAcentral is "partial 23S ribosomal RNA". It matches the Rfam family "Bacterial large subunit ribosomal RNA", at positions 1292 to 2845 of the family's 2925-position model. RNAcentral also lists the same sequence under 1 other name. Lineage: Bacteria; Pseudomonadati; Pseudomonadota; Gammaproteobacteria; Enterobacterales; Enterobacteriaceae. The record is from RNAcentral.